UUUUCACGCAUCCCAUCCAUUCGCAGGUGAUAUGGAUUUGAAGGUGAGCUAGCUCAGUGCCUUGGAUCUCGGCCUGGAUUGGUAGCAGAGCUGGUCACCUCACAGGUUCUCCUUUAUCCACACCAGCAGGAUGAGCUCUCCAGCACUGCUCUGGCGAGGCCACACAAUGCCUGCCACAAUCCACAGUAAGCGGGACUGUUCUUUUGCUCCCAUGCAAUUGGAGCCGGGUCACUCACAUCCACGUCUCCAGAACCAGCUCCAAGACCUGGGGCCCACUCUCUCAAAUCCUGAAGCCCGUGGGCCAGUUCUACUAUGCUGCCCAGGAUUUACACAGAUUGCUGUUGUCUUGAGUGCUCCAGCCACCAGUUCACAGAGCUAACUCACCAGCUCUCAGGACCCCAAGACCAGUUCUCCUGACUGCUGAAGAUGGUGAGGGGCAAUGGGAUCAUCUUGUAGUAGGGUGAGUCACAUCAGUGACUGAAGAAGCUUCCAGCUUUAGCCUAGAGCCUGGUCAUUGGUGAGAAUUGGUCAAAGGUGUCCAGCUUCUUGGGUUGAACAGCUAAACGUUCUCUAACAUUCCAGGGUGCAAUGCCCACUGUUGGACUAGCCAGCCUCCAACCGUAUGAACUGAUUUUGUACAUUUCCUUAAUAAUUAUGGAAUUAUCUGUGUCUUAUGAACUCCACCUAUGUAUUUGUUUUGUUCCUGCAAAGCUCUGUAAGUUAGGAAGGGUGUAAGACGCUUUCCCGAUUAUGGAUUAUGGGGAAAGCACUGAGCCUGUAGUGCUUUCCAAAAGGUAAUUGCCAGUAAAGAAAAACACAGU
This is a long non-coding RNA of Mus musculus (house mouse), 821 nucleotides long. RefSeq annotates it as predicted gene, 42214. The record is from RefSeq and is a predicted model, not a curated record. Lineage: Eukaryota; Metazoa; Chordata; Mammalia; Rodentia; Muridae. The transcript is spliced from 3 exons.